This 253-nucleotide ribosomal RNA is filed under the name uncultured bacterium. RNAcentral describes it as "partial 16S ribosomal RNA". It matches the Rfam family "Bacterial small subunit ribosomal RNA", at positions 524 to 776 of the family's 1533-position model. The record is from RNAcentral.
GACAGAGGGUGCAAACGUUGCUCGGAAUCACUGGGCGUAAAGGGCGUGUAGGCGGGAAGGAAAGUCAGAUGUGAAAUCCCCAGGCUCAACCUGGGAACUGCAUUUGAAACUCCCUUUCUUGAGUGUCGGAGAGGAAAGCGGAAUUCCUGGUGUAGAGGUGAAAUUCGUAGAUAUCAGGAGGAACACCAGCGGCGAAGGCGGCUUUCUGGACGAUAACUGACGCUGAGACGCGAAAGCGUGGGGAGCAAACAGG